GCUAGAAGGAAACUUCUGACUGACCAUCCAAGGUGAAGAGGAAAGAGAACUGGCUUUAGGUCAGGCAGAACAGGUCCAAACCCUGGCCCUGCCUUGCACCUGAUUAAAGCCUUAUUCCUUGGCAAUAAUCAUCUCAGUGAUUGGCUUUCUGUGAAGCAAGCAACAGGAACUAGAUCGGAACCUGUGGUGUUUUGAUCAUCUUCAUCAUCAUCUUCAGCUGCC
Molecule: long non-coding RNA, 222 nt
Organism: Symphalangus syndactylus (siamang)
Lineage: Eukaryota; Metazoa; Chordata; Mammalia; Primates; Hylobatidae
Source: RefSeq, a predicted model, not a curated record